AUUGAACGCUGGCGGCAUGCUUUACACAUGCAAGUCGGACGAGUGGCGAACGGGUGAGUAACGCAUCGGAACGUACCGAGUAAUGGGGGAUAACUGUCCGAAAGGACAGCUAAUACCGCAUAUUAUUCGAGCGGCCGAUGUCUGAUUGGCUGGUUGGCGGGGUAAAGGCCAACCAAGGCGACGAUCAGUAGCGGGUCUGAGAGGAUGAUCCGCCCAACCUGGACUUAGGGACGGCCCAGACGCCUACCGGGAGACGCAGUUGGGAAUUUUUGACUAUUGGCUCGAGCCUGAUCCAGGCAUGCCGAGUGUCUGAAGAAGGCCUUCGGGUUUUAAAGGACUUUUGUCAGGGAAGCGGUACCUGAAGAAUAAGCACCGGCUAACUACGUGCCAGCAGCCGCGGUAAUAC
Molecule: ribosomal RNA, 406 nt
Filed under: uncultured bacterium
Lineage: Bacteria
Description: partial 16S ribosomal RNA
Rfam family: Bacterial small subunit ribosomal RNA
Source: RNAcentral